GAGUUUGAUCUUGGCUCAGAUUGAACGCUGGCGGCAGGCCUAACACAUGCAAGUCGAGCGGUAGAGAGAAGCUUGCUUCUCUUGAGAGCGGCGGACGGGUGAGUAAUGCCUAGGAAUCUGCCUGGUAGUGGGGGAUAACGCUCGGAAACGGACGCUAAUACCGCAUACGUCCUACGGGAGAAAGCAGGGGACCUUCGGGCCUUGCGCUAUCAGAUGAGCCUAGGUCGGAUUAGCUAGUUGGUGUGGUAAUGGCUCACCAAGGCGACGAUCCGUAACUGGUCUGAGAGGAUGAUCAGUCACACUGGAACUGAGACACGGUCCAGACUCCUACGGGAGGCAGCAGUGGGGAAUAUUGGACAAUGGGCGAAAGCCUGAUCCAGCCAUGCCGCGUGUGUGAAGAAGGUCUUCGGAUUGUAAAGCACUUUAAGUUGGGAGGAAGGGCAGUAAAUUAAUACUUUGCUGUUUUGACGUUACGACAGAAUAAGCACCGGCUAACUCUGUGCCAGCA
RNAcentral lists this ribosomal RNA (508 nucleotides) under uncultured bacterium. RNAcentral describes it as "bacterial SSU rRNA". It matches the Rfam family "Bacterial small subunit ribosomal RNA", at positions 9 to 513 of the family's 1533-position model. The record is from RNAcentral.